Astatotilapia calliptera (eastern happy) is the source of this 331-nucleotide long non-coding RNA. The record is from Ensembl. Lineage: Eukaryota; Metazoa; Chordata; Actinopteri; Cichliformes; Cichlidae.
UCCAGCCAAAGCCUUUCAUACUUCAAUGGAGGGGAAGGCUAAUCAAUGCGGUAGCAAACAACCCGGAGCCGUACAACACCAGCUGCUUUCAGUACCGAGACAGGAAUAAAAAGGACCGAGCUUGGAGGAAGAUAUGUGAAGAGAUCGGGCAACCUGGCCCACAGAGGAGGACGGCUCCGAGGCAGAUGAGGGACGGGUCCCAGGACGGUCCAUCGGCGGUGGAGCUGGCCAUCGUGGAGUCCCUGAAGAGGCCACACCAGUCUCCAAUGGAGCAUUUCCUCCUCAGCCUUGUUCCUGCUCUGGAGAGCAGCUGGUCCUUUUUAUUCCUGUC